ACAGCAGUAGCCACGGUAAUACGUAGGGCGCAAGCGUUAUCCGGAAUUAUUGGGCGUAAAGAGCUCGCAGGCGGUUUGUCGCGUCUGCCGUGAAAGUCCGGGGCUCAACCCCGGAUCUGCGGUGGGUACGGGCAGACUAGAGUGAUGUAGGGGAGACUGGAAUUCCUGGUGUAGCGGUGAAAUGCGCAGAUAUCAGGAGGAACACCGAUGGCGAAGGCAGGUCUCUGGGCAUUAACUGACGCUGAGGAGCGAAAGCAUGGGGAGCGAACAGGAUUAGAUACCCGCGUAGUCCCUGUCUCUUAUAA
RNAcentral lists this ribosomal RNA (305 nucleotides) under uncultured bacterium. RNAcentral describes it as "partial 16S ribosomal RNA". It matches the Rfam family "Bacterial small subunit ribosomal RNA", at positions 505 to 809 of the family's 1533-position model. The record is from RNAcentral.